RNAcentral lists this ribosomal RNA (253 nucleotides) under uncultured bacterium. RNAcentral describes it as "partial 16S ribosomal RNA". It matches the Rfam family "Bacterial small subunit ribosomal RNA", at positions 524 to 776 of the family's 1533-position model. The record is from RNAcentral.
UACGGAGGAGGCGAGCGUUAUCCGGAAUUAUUGGGCGUAAAGCGUCCGUAGGUGGCUAGUCAAGUCUGCGGUCAAAGACUGGGGCUUAACCCUGGAAAGGCCGUGGAAACUGACGAGCUAGAGUGCAGUAGGGGUAGAGGGAAUUCCCGGUGUAGCGGUGAAAUGCGUAGAGCUCGGGAAGAACAUCGGUGGCGAAAGCGCUCUACUGGACUGCAACUGACACUCAGGGACGAAAGCUAGGGGAGCGAAUGGG